CUGCUCGCCAGAACACUACGAGCCACAGCUUAAAACUCAAAGGACCUGGCGGUGCUUCAUAUCCCUCUAGAGGAGCCUGUUCUGUAAUCGAUAAACCCCGAUCAACCUCACCACCCCUUGCUCAGCCUAUAUACCGCCAUCUUCAGCAAACCCUGAUGAAGGCCACGAAGUAAGCGCAAGCAUCCACAUAAAGACGUUAGGUCAAGGUGUAGCCCAUGGAGUGGCAAGAAAUGGGCUACAUUUUCUACUUCAGAAAACUACGAUAGCCCUCAUGAAACCUGAGGGUCGAAGGUGGAUUUAGC
RNAcentral lists this ribosomal RNA (302 nucleotides) under Pongo abelii (Sumatran orangutan). Its description in RNAcentral is "partial 12S ribosomal RNA". It matches the Rfam family "Bacterial small subunit ribosomal RNA", at positions 865 to 1336 of the family's 1533-position model. The record is from RNAcentral. Lineage: Eukaryota; Metazoa; Chordata; Mammalia; Primates; Hominidae.